This 600-nucleotide ribosomal RNA is filed under the name Amphidinium sp. CCMP2774. RNAcentral's name for it is "eukaryotic LSU rRNA". It matches the Rfam family "Eukaryotic large subunit ribosomal RNA", at positions 35 to 667 of the family's 3401-position model. Lineage: Eukaryota; Dinophyceae; Amphidiniales; Amphidiniaceae. The record is from RNAcentral.
UAAGCAUAUAAGUAGGUGGAGGAAAAGAAACCGAAUGGGAAUCUCUUAGUAAUGGCGAAUGAAAAGAGAUGUGCUUAGUGUCAAAAUCAGGUUGCCCUGACUUGUAGGCUGUAGGGGUGAUGCCAACUUGGGUGCAGGUGAAAGUCUCUUGGAAAGGAGCACCAGUGAGGGUCAGGGUCCCGCCAGUCAUCUGUGAUCCCUUGUAGACGGUUUGCCCAUAGAGAGUCGUGUUCUUCUGGAAUAGAGCGCCAAACGGGUGGUACUCUUUGCCUAAGGAGCAUUACGUGCUUGAGACCAAUAGUGAACAAGUACCAUGAGGGAAGGAUGAAAAGGACUUUGGAAAGAGGGUUAAGAGGGCAUGAAGCUGCUGGAAGGGAAGUGGAUUGGACUUUUCUUAGGUGGUAAGAUUGCAGCUUGCAGUCUUCACUUGUGGGGAACUGUGAGUUGUGUCUCUUGCCACUUGGUUGAGCUUUGUGUAGCGCUCAGAAUCUUAGCGUGGACUGGAGAAGGGUUGCGAUCUGGACCAUGUCCUUGCAUUCUCUUAGCGCAACAUUCAUCUUGACCAAAUUGUUCAAUUUUACCCGUCUUGAAACACGGACC